This 253-nucleotide ribosomal RNA is filed under the name uncultured bacterium. RNAcentral describes it as "partial 16S ribosomal RNA". It matches the Rfam family "Bacterial small subunit ribosomal RNA", at positions 524 to 776 of the family's 1533-position model. The record is from RNAcentral.
UACGUAGGGUGCAAGCGUUAAUCGGAAUUACUGGGCGUAAAGCGUGCGCAGGCGGCUUUGCAAGCCAGAUGUGAAAUCCCCGGGCUUAACCUGGGAACUGCAUUUGUGACUGCAUGGCUGGAGUGCGGCAGAGGGGGAUGGAAUUCCGCGUGUAGCAGUGAAAUGCGUAGAUAUGCGGAGGAACACCGAUGGCGAAGGCAAUCCCCUGGGCCUGCACUGACGCUCAUGCACGAAAGCGUGGGGAGCAAACAGG